Molecule: ribosomal RNA, 427 nt
Filed under: uncultured bacterium
Lineage: Bacteria
Description: bacterial SSU rRNA
Rfam family: Bacterial small subunit ribosomal RNA
Source: RNAcentral
UGGGGAAUUUUGGACAAUGGGCGAAAGCCUGAUCCAGCCAUGCCGCGUGAGUGAAGAAGGCCUUCGGGUUGUAAAGCUCUUUUAGUCGGAAAGAAAGAGUUGCAAUGAAUAAUUGUGAUUUAUGACGGUACCGACAGAAAAAGCACCGGCUAACUACGUGCCAGCAGCCGCGGUGAUACGUAGGGUGCAAGCGUUGUCCGGAAUUAUUGGGCGUAAAGAGCUCGUAGGCGGUUUGUCGCGUCUGCUGUGAAAACCCGAGGCUCAACCUCGGGCCUGCAGUGGGUACGGGCAAACUAGAGUGCGGUAGGGGAGAUUGGAAUUCCUGGUGUAGCGGUGGAAUGCGCAGAUAUCAGGAGGAACACCGAUGGCGAAGGCAGAUCUCUGGGCCGUAACUGACGCUGAGGAGCGAAAGCAUGGGGAGCGAACA